This 497-nucleotide ribosomal RNA is filed under the name uncultured bacterium. RNAcentral's name for it is "bacterial SSU rRNA". It matches the Rfam family "Bacterial small subunit ribosomal RNA", at positions 30 to 518 of the family's 1533-position model. The record is from RNAcentral.
UGAACGCUAGCUACAGGCUAACACAUGCAAGUCGAGGGGCAGCGAGAGGAAAGCUUGCUUCCUUGUCGGCGACCGGCGCACGGGUGAGUAACGCGUAUCCAACCUUCCCUUAGUAGGGCAUAGCCCGGUGAAAAUCGGAUUAAUACCCUAUGUUAUUCGUCGAGGACAUCUGAAGUGAAUCAAAGAUUUAUCGCUAAGGGAUGGGGAUGCGUCUGAUUAGGUAGUCGGCGGGGUAACGGCCCACCGAGCCAUCGAUCAGUAGGGGUUCUGAGAGGAAGGUCCCCCACACUGGUACUGAGACACGGACCAGACUCCUACGGGAGGCAGCAGUGAGGAAUAUUGGUCAAUGGGCGUAAGCCUGAACCAGCCAAGUAAGCGUGCAGGAUGACGGCCCUAUGGGUUGUAAACUGCUUUUAUACGGGGAUAAAGUGAGGGACGUGUCCCUUAUUGUAGGUACCGUAUGAAUAAGGACCGGCUAAUUCCGUGCCAGCCGCCGC